GAUACCUGUUUGACAUGUAUUCUUCUUUUUUUGUUUAGUUUCAUGUAGAAGUUUCUUUCAACCAGCGUUUAUUCUAUUCGAUAAUGAAAACACUGAGACGAGAGGAUCCUUAUCCUCAAUAUCCAUGAUAAAAGAAUAAUACUGCAUAUGACAUCUUGAAUAUAUUCUAACUCUUAUUUAUAAGGCCAGAAGAAGAGAUGACAAAGAUAGAUCAUUUAUUUUAUAGUUUGCCCCAACGGUCCUCCUCCAUGUCAAAGUUCUCUCAUUUCUCCAUGGACUGCUUCACUCUUGAAGGUCACAAAGGAAGUGAUGGUGUGCAUAGACAUGGGCUGAGGAAUGUGCAGAAUGGAGAGAUCAAAGACGGACCAACUCGGCCGAGUGCUCCUCGGGGCCCUCCACCUCAACACAAUUAAUAGGAUAGGAGAAGAUGGAAGAUCGUUAUUUUCCUUCAUCACUACGGCUUGAACUUAUAGAUGGAAAUUUCCUUAGUAGGUACAGAACAAGCAGGCAGAAGUAUGUUAAGGGUUGUAAUAUGUGUAUAGUGAUAUAGAGAAGCAAAGAAAUAUGAGAAAGCUACCUUACAAAUCA
Molecule: long non-coding RNA, 588 nt
Organism: Asparagus officinalis (garden asparagus)
Lineage: Eukaryota; Viridiplantae; Streptophyta; Magnoliopsida; Asparagales; Asparagaceae
Exons: 3
Source: RefSeq, a predicted model, not a curated record